CUGCUGCCUUCCGUAAGAGUUUGGGCCGUGUCUCAGUCCCAAUGUGGCCGUCCACCCUCUCAGGCCGGCUACUGAUCGCUGCCUUGGUGGGCCGUUACCCCGCCAACUAGCUAAUCAGACGCGGAUCCAUCGUAUACCACCGGAAUUUUUCACACUGCCCCAUGCGGAGCCGUGCGCUUAUGCGGUAUUAGCACCUAUUUCUAAGUGUUAUCCCCCGGUAUACGGCAGGUUAUCCACGCGUUACUCACCCGUCCGCCAA
RNAcentral lists this ribosomal RNA (259 nucleotides) under uncultured bacterium. Its description in RNAcentral is "partial 16S ribosomal RNA". The record is from RNAcentral.